RNAcentral lists this long non-coding RNA (205 nucleotides) under Olea europaea (common olive). RNAcentral's name for it is "long non-coding RNA (OEUR_LNC010981)". Lineage: Eukaryota; Viridiplantae; Streptophyta; Magnoliopsida; Lamiales; Oleaceae. The record is from RNAcentral.
CCUCUUUACUUUAGUUUAGUAAAGUCGUCUUUGUUUUUGCCGCCAACGUACGCUACUAGGAGAGUAAGCAAGCUAGCUUGCUUGCAUUCGUCAAAGGGUAGCUUCCGUGCCCUUCCUGCCUGCUGAAAUUUAUGUGAAUGAUCGUGACAGCUCUUCAAAUCCUAUUCGGUCUGAUUAGAUAUGUCACUGAAACAAAGUGAUUCCG